UUCAUGGAUGGAAGAUUAUGAUUGUUGUUUAUUGAGAGUUGUAUUUUGACAAAAAAAAAAUUAUAAUUACAGAAAUUGUAUGAAGCCAGAUUGGUUGGAGUGGAAGUCUGUUAUUUUUGAUAUUAGAUGGAAUUUAUAUGUUUUGAGUGGUCUUUUGAGAAAGCAAAUUUACACUUUGUUGUUAUCAAUUGAUAAAGGAAUAUUGUUAUUGGGAGAGAGUAUUAUAGUAUUUUUUGGUAUUUUUAGUGGUUCACAAAUAUGAUUAAUUGUGUGACCCUAACAUGUAAGCUCAUGCGGUUAGUCUUUCCCUGUAUUUGAAUCUCCCUCUAUAGAUUUAUUUUAAAAGGAAUUUGUAGAAUAAGUAAAACGAUAACCACAUUUUGGCACC
RNAcentral lists this long non-coding RNA (388 nucleotides) under Physcomitrium patens. RNAcentral's name for it is "long non-coding RNA (PPAT_LNC007271)". The record is from RNAcentral. Lineage: Eukaryota; Viridiplantae; Streptophyta; Bryopsida; Funariales; Funariaceae.